RNAcentral lists this ribosomal RNA (608 nucleotides) under uncultured bacterium. RNAcentral's name for it is "bacterial SSU rRNA". It matches the Rfam family "Bacterial small subunit ribosomal RNA", at positions 327 to 926 of the family's 1533-position model. The record is from RNAcentral.
GGUCGACGAUUCCUACGGGAGGCAGCAGUGGGGAAUUUUGGACUUGGGGGGCAACCCUGAUCCAGCCAUUCCGCGUGAGUGAAGAAGGCCUUCGGGUUGUAAAGCUCUUUCGGCAGGAACGAAACGGUGAGCUCUAACAUAGCUCGCUAAUGACGGUACCUGAAGAAGAAGCACCGGCUAACUACGUGCCAGCAGCCGCGGUAAUACGUAGGGUGCGAGCGUUAAUCGGAAUUACUGGGCGUAAAGCGUGCGCAGGCGGUUGUGUAAGACAGGUGUGAAAUCCCCGGGCUUAACCUGGGAACUGCGCUUGUGACUGCACGGCUAGAGUAUGGCAGAGGGGGGUGGAAUUCCACGUGUAGCAGUGAAAUGCGUAGAGAUGUGGAGGAACACCGAUGGCGAAGGCAGCCCCCUGGGCCAAUACUGACGCUCAUGCACGAAAGCGUGGGGAGCAAACAGGAUUAGAUACCCUGGUAGUCCACGCCCUAAACGAUGUCGACUAGGUGUUCGGUGAGGAGACUCAUUGAGUACCGCAGCUAACGCGUGAAGUCGACCGCCUGGGGAGUACGGUCGCAAGAUUAAAACUCAAAGGAAUUGACGGAAUCUCUAGA